UCUCGUUAAGGCCCUCCAAGGCCGAGCUAGUUUUAUCCGGUAAACCCUACCUCUCUCUCUUACUUGCCACUUGAGUUACGCCGGCCAUGUGCGAUGCGCUUCGCAUUGCCUUCUAGGCGGCUCUUCUCCCGCCGCCUCUGCACGCUACCUCAAAAGCUCAAUAACGUAUCCUACCUCUACCGCGACCGUGUCCUCAAGGAGGCACAGUGCUUGCUCACCGACUACCUCCACUCAGCCCGCGCCAUCUCCUUCUCCCACGCUGACUCUAUCGUCUCCUACGCCCCCUUUUCGCUCUCCGCCCUGGUCUCCAAGAUCCCUUUCCCGCCAAACACCCCCGCCAACGAAUUUAAGCGCUUCCUCCGCCGCUUCUUUUCCUACCGUCCCGUCAACGAGUACGAGUUUUUCUUCGAGAGCAUUGGCCUCUCACCCUCCUCCUCCUCCCUCGCUGCGUCCACCUACCGUAGUUACUUCCUCUCAGAUGAUGCCUCGCUCCUCGCUGCUGUCUCGGCGCUCGUCGGCUUUGGCUUUCCUUGGAGGAAACUCGGCAUCCUGUACAGCGAGGAUCCCCGCAUUUUUUCGGUAGAUGCCAACAGUCUCGUCGCCAGGCUCUGCGCCCUCGAUGCCCGGGGUUUCCAUCGUGUAUGCAUCAUCAGCAUUUGCCUUGCUUUCCCCUCCGCGCUGUGUGCAGAAGCUGACCCUGGCGGUGAGAUUGAUCUACUGUUUCAGGAUUUGAGAAAGGUCUUCAUCGACUUUGAUCUCGCUGGAUUGGUCCCUGAAGACGAUGUGGAUGUUUUCCUUCACACGUGCAGGAAGAUUCGUGUGUUCUAUGAUCUGGGUGCUACAAAAGGGACGAUGGGCGAGCUGAUGGGUAGAAAUCGGAAGAUAUUCCUGGAGCUGGACGAGGCGUUAAUAGCUCAAAAAUUGAAAUUUUUCAUCAAUUUAGGAAUGGAGGCUGCUGAAGCUGGGCAUUUCAUUCUUAAACAUGCUGAUCUUGUUUAUCUCGAUUUUGACAAUCCUACCAUUGUGAUGCCAGAGUAUCUAAAGUGCAUUGGUUUGGAUGAGGAUGAAGUCAAUUUGUUGUGUCGGAAGUAUCCUUAUGUGAUGGGCAAGAAUAAAUUAAGAAAUUUGCCAGCGAUGAUGAAAGCCAUGAAUCUGCACAAGCAGUUCCUAGGCAAGAUCUUGAAUGGGAAUCUCCAUUAUCUCUCUUCUGAAUUUGUUCUUGCUACCUCUCAUUACACAGCACUAGAGAGUGGGUUUCUGCAAGCUUUGGAAAGGCUGAAACGUGCCAGGAAAGUGCAGUUUCUUGACAGUAAACUAGAAUUCAUGCAAAGUAUUGGAUUUGGGGAGAAUACGCUCACAGUUAAAUCCAUGUCACUGAUCAAUAUUAGCGCAAAGGACCAAUUGCAGGAGCGCAUCGAUUGCCUUCUCCAGCUGGGUAUUGAGUACUCCAUGCUUUGUCGAAUGAUAAUUGCAAAACCAAUUAUAUUGAAUCAGUGCAAAGAAAUGCUCCAUGAGAAGGUGAAUUUCCUUUGCAAUGACUUAGGUUUUUCGUUAGAGUAUCUUGAUAUUUUCCCUGCUUUUCUUAGUUUUGAUCUGGAGAACAGAACCAAGCCACGAUAUAAAAUGCUAAAGUGGCUUAAAGAACUCAGCUUGCUCAAGAAGCCUUUUGCCCCUGCUACUGUUCUUGCAAAUUCUGAGAGGAGAUUCAUGGUUAACCUCUAUAGUAUCCAUCCAGCUGCUCCGAAACAAUGGUUAGAAUGCUUCUCAUCCAAAAGCGACUGUCAUGGAAAUCAAAGAAUCUUAUUUUUGCCUCGUAAUUAGCACAGAGAUAGUGCUUGCAGAAUCAACAAAGACCAUAAACCAGUGUGCUACUCUGACCUUUGUUCUUUGGAGGGCAAGCUACUUCAUAGGAUUUUAUCAAAGCAGCUUUACCUUGCUGAAAUAGAAAAAGCAUCUUUGUGUCAUUCAUCUUGAUUGUGACUUUUGUCAUAGCAGCUGUAUCCAAAUUUCCGUGAUGAUCUUAGCAUCCAUACACCUCAGUCUAAACUGCUAUAAUAUCCUUGCUCUAGUUACUGGAACAGUUAAGCCAUCAUUGUGCCUGCAUCAACUGCUCUAAUAGGGUUUAUUACAUGAUGCCAAACCUUGAAGGAUGCUAGUUCACCUCGAUUCCCUUUUUCAAUAGCUUGCUGAGGAUCAUCUACCUAAGGCAGUUGUCACAUAGAAGCGGAACCACUCAAGUUAAUGCUCAUCUCUCUUUUGCAGAAACAAAGAAACUCAAAUUCUAUUGUGAUUUAUCAUGUAGAAUUGUUUGAAUGUUAAGAAGGCCCUUGUGAGGAAGGGUGUUGUUCCCCUUGGAUGGUUUUUGUGGUGUUUAGAAUUGAAUAAUUGUUGUAAUAUACGUGUAACAUUGUUUUUUGGUCCUUGAUGUGUAAGGACUAAAGGUUGUUCUUCAGCUUUUACAGGGCGUUUCGCCAAAAUAAAGAAUUUUAGGGUAUGUUUAACCCUGAGGUCAA
This is an RNA transcript of Zingiber officinale, 2513 nucleotides long. It is a transcript of the gene named transcription termination factor MTEF18, mitochondrial-like, with no coding region annotated. The transcript is spliced from 2 exons. Lineage: Eukaryota; Viridiplantae; Streptophyta; Magnoliopsida; Zingiberales; Zingiberaceae. The record is from RefSeq and is a predicted model, not a curated record.